This 472-nucleotide long non-coding RNA is filed under the name Elaeis guineensis (African oil palm). Its description in RNAcentral is "long non-coding RNA (EGUI_LNC014383)". The record is from RNAcentral. Lineage: Eukaryota; Viridiplantae; Streptophyta; Magnoliopsida; Arecales; Arecaceae.
CGGGCGGAGUCUGCUUGCGGCUGUAGUCGUUGGCGUCGAAGAUGAAGCUCGGCUCCCUUAAGAGCACGGGCAAAGUCCUCCUGCAAUUUAAAAUUAAAGGCGAAGUCCGGCUCUCGUAGGAGUCCGGAUGGAGCUUACCAGCAGUUGAUACUGAGAGCGGAGCCCGGCUCCCGCAGGAGUCCGGGCGGAGCUGCGUUGCUGUCGGCGGUGGAGCCUGGUUCCCGUAAGAGUCCNNNNNNNNNNNNNNNNNNNNGGCUCCCGUAGGAGUCCGGGCGGAGCUGUGCUGCUGUCGGCGGUGGAGCCCGGCUCCCGUAGGAGUCCGGGCGGAGCUGCGCUGCUGUCGGCGGUGGAGCUCGGUUCCCGUAGGAGUCCGGGCGGAGCUGCGUUGCUGCCGAUUCCGUUGAGGGUUUCGGCUGUGGGUAUUUUAUACCCAACAGCUUGUAUAACUUUGGAGUAGAAGUUUGUUGCCAGC